Molecule: unclassified non-coding RNA, 199 nt
Filed under: Polyporus arcularius
Lineage: Eukaryota; Fungi; Basidiomycota; Agaricomycetes; Polyporales; Polyporaceae
Description: partial ITS1
Source: RNAcentral
GAGHUCUGAAACGGGHUGUAGCUGGCCUUCCGAGGCAUGUGCACGCCCUGCUCAUCCACUCUACACCUGUGCACUUACUGUGGGHUUCAGGAGCUUCGAAGCGAGGGUUUAAUCGCUCUCGCCGAGUUGUUACUGGGCCUACGUUUAUCACAAACUCUUAUAAAGUAUCAGAAUGUAAACGCGUCUAACGCAUCUAUAU